GACGAACGCUGGCGGCGUGCUUAACACAUGCAAGUCGAACGGAAAGGCCCUGCUUUUGUGGGGUGCUCGAGUGGCGAACGGGUGAGUAACACGUGAGUAACCUGCCCUUGACUUUGGGAUAACUUCAGGAAACUGGGGCUAAUACCGGAUAGGAGCUCCUGAUGCAUGGUGGGGGUUGGAAAGUUUCGGCGGUUGGGGAUGGAUUCGCGGGUUAUCAGCUUGUUUGUGGGGUAGUCGAUGACCAAGGCUUUGACGGAUAGCCGGCCUGAGAGCGUUACCGGCCACAUGGGUACUGCGAUACGGCGCAGACUGCUACGUGACGCAGCAGUCGGGAAUAUUGCAGAGUGGGCCGACGUCUGUUGCAGCAACGCCGCGUGCGGAAUGACGUCUUACGGGGUGUAAACAGAUGUCUCCUGUGACGAAGCGUGAGUGACGGUAAUUGGUCAAGAAGCACCGGCUAACUACGUG
This 468-nucleotide ribosomal RNA is filed under the name uncultured bacterium. Its description in RNAcentral is "partial 16S ribosomal RNA". It matches the Rfam family "Bacterial small subunit ribosomal RNA", at positions 28 to 507 of the family's 1533-position model. The record is from RNAcentral.